This 511-nucleotide ribosomal RNA is filed under the name uncultured bacterium. RNAcentral's name for it is "bacterial SSU rRNA". It matches the Rfam family "Bacterial small subunit ribosomal RNA", at positions 791 to 1300 of the family's 1533-position model. The record is from RNAcentral.
UAGUCCACGCCGUAAACGAUGAGUACUAGUUAUUGGGGGUAUUGACCCCCUCAGUGACGCAGCUAACGCAUUAAGUACUCCGCCUGGGAAGUACGGUCGCAAGACUAAAACUCAAAGGAAUUGACGGGGGCCCGCACAAGCGGUGGAUUAUGUGGUUUAAUUCGAAGCAACGCGCAGAACCUUACCUAGGCUUGAAAUCCUACGAAUCUGGUGUAAUUACCGGAGUGCCCGCAAGGGAAUGUAGUGACAGGUGCUGCAUGGCUGUCGUCAGCUCGUGUUGUGAAAUGUUGGGUUAAGUCUCGCAACGAGCGCAACCCCUAUCUUUAGUUGCCAGCAUUAAGUUGGGCACUCUAGAGAGACUGCCGGUGACAAACCGGAGGAAGGUAAGGAUGACGUCAAGUCAGCAUGCCCCUUAUGCUCUGGGCUACACACGUGCUACAAUGGCCGUGACAAAGAGUUGCUACUUUGUGAAAACAAGCUAAUCUCAUAAACGCGGCCUCAGUUCGGAUUG